CUCACUCACUGGAGUCAACUCCCCCGGUUCAAGUGGAUUUCAAGUUGGGAGACAGGCCCAUGUCAUGUCAGAGCGUGUAGAAGAACAGAAGGAAACCAAGGCCACUGAGGGAAGGACAGAAGAUGUACAUGAUGCAGUGGCUAAGGACCAUGACCUCCCCUUCCCCAAGCACCAAGUGUAGCCUUGGCCCUGACUCUCCUGGAACCCCAAGCCACCUGGAUGACAGACAGGAACCUGAGAACUGGGGACAGGUGAAGACAUCAGACACCUGGCGUCUCAAAAUCACGGUCAUCCACCCUCCCACACAGAAAUCACCAACAGCUCUGGUGACAGCUUGGGCCCCUUCACCAGUAUCUCCCAUUCCACCUCUCAGAUGGAGUGUCGAUACUGAAUACAGGACUGGCAUGAAUGGGAUCCCCAGCAUCCUGUCUGCGUGUGACUGAAGUUGGUGCCUUUUCACUGCUGCAUGGAUGGCCAGUCUGUUCGACCACCAACUAGUGGAAGGGGCACUUUGGGUCUUUCCAGUUCCCAUGAGGGGCCAUCACAAAUAAAGCUGCUAUGA
Talpa occidentalis (Iberian mole) is the source of this 562-nucleotide long non-coding RNA. RefSeq lists it as uncharacterized. The record is from RefSeq and is a predicted model, not a curated record. NCBI's taxonomy places the organism in Eukaryota, Metazoa, Chordata, Mammalia, Eulipotyphla, Talpidae. The transcript has 3 exons.